This 456-nucleotide ribosomal RNA is filed under the name uncultured bacterium. RNAcentral's name for it is "bacterial SSU rRNA". It matches the Rfam family "Bacterial small subunit ribosomal RNA", at positions 340 to 786 of the family's 1533-position model. The record is from RNAcentral.
UACGGAAGGCAGCAGUGGGGAAUAUUGCACAAUGGGCGCAAGCCUGAUGCAGCCAUGCCGCGUGUAUGAAAAAGGCCUUCGGGUUGUAAAGUACUUUCAGUCGUGAGGAAGGUGUUAAGGUUAAUAACCUUAGCAAUUGACGUUAGCGACAGAAGAAGCACCGGCUAACUCCGUGCCAGCAGCCGCGGUAAUACGGAGGGUGCGAGCGUUAAUCGGAAUUACUGGGCGUAAAGGGCACGCAGGCGGUUAAUUAAGUUGGAUGUGAAAUCCCCGGGCUUAACCUGGGAAUGGCAUUCAAGACUGGUUAGCUAGAGUCUUGUAGAGGGGGGUUAGAAUUCCAUGUGUAGCGGUGAAAUGCGUAGAGAUGUGGAGGAAUACCGGUGGCGAAGGCGGCCCCUGGACAAAGACUGACGCUCAUGUGCGAAAGCGUGGGGAGCAAACGAGGGAUUAGAUACC